CAAACCAAAGCUGGCGACCGGCGCACGGGUGAGUAACGCGUAUCCAACCUGCCUCAUACUCGGGGAUAGCCUUUCGAAAGAAAGAUUAAUAUCCGAUAGCAUAUAUUUCCCGCAUGGGUUUUAUAUUAAAGAAGUUCGGUAUGAGAUGGGGAUGCGUUCCAUUAGUUUGUUGGGGGGUAACGGCCCACCAAGACUACGAUGGAUAGGGGUUCUGAGGGGAAGGUCCCCCACAUUGGAACUGAGACACGGUCCAA
Molecule: ribosomal RNA, 254 nt
Filed under: uncultured bacterium
Lineage: Bacteria
Description: partial 16S ribosomal RNA
Rfam family: Bacterial small subunit ribosomal RNA
Source: RNAcentral